AUUGAACGCUGGCGGCAGGCUUAACACAUGCAAGUCGAGCGGAAACGAAGAGGAGCUUGCUCCUUUGGCGUCGAGCGGCGGACGGGUGAGUAAUGCUUGGGGAAUAUGCCUUUUGGUGGGAGACAACAGUUGGAAACGACUGCUAAUACCGCAUAAUGUUUACGGACCAAAGCGGGGGACCUUCGGGCCUCGUGCCAAAAGAAUUAGCCCAAGUGAGAUUAGCUAGUUGGUGGGGUAAAGGACCUACCAAGGACGACGAAUCUCUAGCUGGUUUGAGAGGAUGAUCAGCCACACU
This 295-nucleotide ribosomal RNA is filed under the name uncultured Gammaproteobacteria bacterium. RNAcentral describes it as "partial 16S ribosomal RNA". It matches the Rfam family "Bacterial small subunit ribosomal RNA", at positions 30 to 314 of the family's 1533-position model. The record is from RNAcentral. Lineage: Bacteria; Pseudomonadati; Pseudomonadota; Gammaproteobacteria.